UGCGAGACGAGUCGCGGGGCGCAGAGAGCUCACCUUUCUGGCCGCCGAGGGCCGCGUACCAGGAGAGCGAGAGGAAGGCGCACAGGCAGAGCAGCAGCAGCGUCAGGAAGGUGCCAUUGCGGAGCCUCAUCUCCUCCGGCAGGAUGCCAGUACUGGGAAAGCAGUGCUGCUCGCCCAACUUGCUGAUGAACUGGACAGGCUGAGACUGGCAUUGCGGAGCCUUCUGGAGGAAACUGGCUUAUUCCAAGUGCCUCAGUUUUCACCUUCUAUUUGUAGCAAGGGAUAAGAACUUUCAUUUGGGCUGUGAUACAAAAGGUUUAUUUACUUAUUUAUUUUAAUGUGUGUUGAAGCUUAAAAUGAGUUGAUUUAAGGAAAUUGAACCAGUAAAAAUUAAGGACAUGGCCUGUCAGUAACUAAAGUUCGGGAAGCUCACCUCUCCCCUCCACACUUUGGCUUUGGAACAGGAGGAGCAGGGAGGGGGCUGGGGGGAUGACUCAGAAGGGGGGUGGCAUUCUGCCCCGACCCCUAGAGACUGCAAGGCCUUUGUCAGGAAUGGGACUUCUGUGGGCCAGGGUUGGGGAAGGGGGCAGUCAGGUCCGGAGUGAUGGGAGAGGGGCCAGGGUGAGUCGCCUGGAGGGGGUCACACUCCAAAACUGGUGGCUGAGUUUGGGCAACCAUGGCGUUCAGGCGAUAGAGACCGAGGACAGUCUUUCCGAUUCCCCCAGCCCUGCUGUUUCCUCCCCACUGCCCCAGCAGAAUACCAGGAGGGGGUCCUCUGGGCCAUACACCACUUAGGGGCAGGCGCUCGCCACUGGGCUGAGAAUGGGUCAGCACCAGGCUUGCCUGUCCUGCCAGUACUGUACACCGAGGGCAAGAAGGACAGUGUGGUGCUGCUACCAGGAGGGGCUGGAGAAGAUGGUUGUGGAGUGAGCAGAAGCCUAGGGGACCCUGGCCCCCAGGGCCUGCAUAAGUAGCAACGCAGUGAGGGAAGGCCCACCGCAGGCAUGCAUCAGGCCCUGCGACCCCUCCCCAAAGCCUCUGCACUCCCAGCUGUAGCCUUUGCAACAGUUGGCUGGCUCCUGGCCAGUUUUCCACAGCUCUCUGUGCCCUUACUGCAAUGCAUUCCUUGGGGUCUGCUUCCACCUCAACUCCCUCUGGCACUUCUAGGCAGGUGAGCUUUGCCUGCCCUCCUGCCACCCAGGAUGGGAUGCCCCCUCACCCAAGAGUUCACCUUCUUUGCUGGAGACAAUGACACUGGCCAGACGGGUGUAGAAAGUCCUGCUUUCUCUCCCGACCAGGCUGUGGCCUUGUCCCCUUUGUUCUUCUUGCUUCCCACAAAGGGAAAAUGCCUUUGAGUUGGAAUUCCAAGCCAGCCCUCAGCCCACGCUGCUCUGGAGAUUUUCUGGGACAGCCUCCAGAGGUGGCUGCUCCUUCCAUCCUUCCUCACGGGGCUUCUUAACCUAUGGCCUAGGGAUCCAGUGUUGGGGAGGUCUAAGAGCUGAGACGAGCAAAGACAGAAGAAAAUCCAUCUUUAUUUUUUUCUAACCUCUAACUGAAACUUGGCAUUUUCUUGAGUUGUGAAUGGAGGCAGCAAAGUCCAGCAGAAUUCGCAGUGCUUGGGGCUGUCACAUGGCAAUCUCCCGGGUUUCCACCCCGCUGCAGGUGCUGCAGCCACUGCGCCCUGGUGUUGCCAGUGCUGACCGGUCCUACCUCUACAUCUUGUAAUGUGAUGAGUUAAUAAAGAAUCACAGCUAUUUCUA
Long non-coding RNA from Phyllostomus hastatus (greater spear-nosed bat), 1760 nucleotides. RefSeq lists it as uncharacterized. The record is from RefSeq and is a predicted model, not a curated record. Lineage: Eukaryota; Metazoa; Chordata; Mammalia; Chiroptera; Phyllostomidae. The transcript has 2 exons.